UACGUAGGUGGCAAGCGUUGUCCGGAUUUAUUGGGUUUAAAGGGUGCGUAGGCGGCCCUGUAAGUCAGUGGUGAAAUACGGCAGCUUAACUGUCGAGGUGCCAUUGAUACUGCAGGGCUAGAGUACUGUUGAGGUAGGCGGAAUGGACGGUGUAGCGGUGAAAUGCUUAGAUAUCGUCCAGAACACCGAUAGCGAAGGCAGCUUACUAAACUGUAACUGACACUGAGGCACGAAAGUGUGGGGAUCAAACAGG
This 253-nucleotide ribosomal RNA is filed under the name uncultured bacterium. RNAcentral describes it as "partial 16S ribosomal RNA". It matches the Rfam family "Bacterial small subunit ribosomal RNA", at positions 524 to 776 of the family's 1533-position model. The record is from RNAcentral.